This 74-nucleotide small nucleolar RNA is filed under the name Otolemur garnettii (small-eared galago). RNAcentral's name for it is "Small nucleolar RNA ZL2". It matches the Rfam family "Small nucleolar RNA ZL2". From Rfam's summary of the family: Host gene TNPO2. Lineage: Eukaryota; Metazoa; Chordata; Mammalia; Primates; Galagidae. The record is from Rfam by way of RNAcentral.
AGCUUCAAGUGAUGGACAGAUGCCUAGGGAGCACUAUGACCGAUUGGGAUGUAUUCGUACUGUCUGAUGGGCCC